UGAUGCGGUCAUACCAAGGCUACUACACCAGAUCCCAUCAGAACUCUGAAGUUAAGCGCCUUUGGGCCGGAAUAGUACUGGGAUGGGUGACCU
Molecule: ribosomal RNA, 93 nt
Filed under: Rhizogemma staphylina
Lineage: Eukaryota; Viridiplantae; Streptophyta; Bryopsida; Dicranales; Rhizogemmaceae
Also listed under: 5 other names
Source: RNAcentral